GACGAACGCUGGCGGCGUGCUUAACACAUGCAAGUCGAACGGAAAGGCCCUGCUUUUGUGGGGUGCUCGAGGGGCGAACGGGUGAGUAACAAGUGAGUAACCUGCCCCUGACUUUGGGAUAACUUAAGGAAACUGGGGCUAAUAACGGAUAGGAUCUCCUGCUGCAUGGUGGGGGAUGGAAAGUUUCGGCGGUUGGGGAUGGACUCGCGGCUUAUCAGCUUGUUGGUGGGGUGGUGGCUUACCAAGGCUUUGACGGGUAGCCGGCCUGAGAGGGUGACCGGCCACAUUGGGACUGAGAUACGGCCCAGACUCCUACGGGAGGCAGCAGUGGGGAAUAUUGCACAUUGGGCGGAAGCCUGAUGCAGCAACGCCGCGUGCGGGAUGACGGCCUUCGGGUUGUAAACCGCUUUCGCCGGUGACGAAGCGGUAGUGACGGUAAUGGGUAAAGAAGCACCGGCUAACUACGUG
This 468-nucleotide ribosomal RNA is filed under the name uncultured bacterium. RNAcentral describes it as "partial 16S ribosomal RNA". It matches the Rfam family "Bacterial small subunit ribosomal RNA", at positions 28 to 507 of the family's 1533-position model. The record is from RNAcentral.